AUAUCAAUAAGCGGAGGAAAAGAAACUAACAAGGAUUCCCCUAGUAACUGCGAGUGAAGCGGGAAAAGCUCAAAUUUAAAAUCUGGUAGUCUUUGGCUGCCCGAGUUGUAAUCUAGAGAAGUCGUUAUCCGCGCUGGACCGUGCAUAAGUCUCCUGGAAUGGAGCGUCAUAGAGGGUGAGAAUCCCGUCUUUGGCACGGACCCCCAGGGCUUCUGCGAUGCGCUCUCGAAGAGUCGAGUUGUUUGGGAAUGCAGCUCAAAAUGGGUGGUGAACUCCAUCUAAAGCUAAAUAUUGGCGAGAGACCGAUAGCGAACAAGUACCGUGAGGGAAAGAUGAAAAGCACUUUGGAAAGAGAGUGAAACAGUAC
This 367-nucleotide ribosomal RNA is filed under the name uncultured fungus. Its description in RNAcentral is "eukaryotic LSU rRNA". It matches the Rfam family "Eukaryotic large subunit ribosomal RNA", at positions 40 to 398 of the family's 3401-position model. Lineage: Eukaryota; Fungi. The record is from RNAcentral.